RNAcentral lists this ribosomal RNA (560 nucleotides) under gamma proteobacterium ZL-10. RNAcentral describes it as "bacterial SSU rRNA". It matches the Rfam family "Bacterial small subunit ribosomal RNA", at positions 100 to 657 of the family's 1533-position model. The record is from RNAcentral. Lineage: Bacteria; Pseudomonadati; Pseudomonadota; Gammaproteobacteria.
GACGGGUGAGUAAUGCCUGGGAAAUUGCCCUGAUGUGGGGGAUAACCAUUGGAAACGAUGGCUAAUACCGCAUAAUAGCUUCGGCUCAAAGAGGGGGACCUUCGGGCCUCUCGCGUCAGGAUAUGCCCAGGUGGGAUUAGCUAGUUGGUGAGGUAAUGGCUCACCAAGGCGACGAUCCCUAGCUGGUCUGAGAGGAUGAUCAGCCACACUGGAACUGAGACACGGUCCAGACUCCUACGGGAGGCAGCAGUGGGGAAUAUUGCACAAUGGGCGCAAGCCUGAUGCAGCCAUGCCGCGUGUAUGAAGAAGGCCUUCGGGUUGUAAAGUACUUUCAGCAGUGAGGAAGGUGGAGUCGUUAAUAGCGGCCUCAUUUGACGUUAGCUGCAGAAGAAGCACCGGCUAACUCCGUGCCAGCAGCCGCGGUAAUACGGAGGGUGCGAGCGUUAAUCGGAAUUACUGGGCGUAAAGCGCAUGCAGGUGGUUUGUUAAGUCAGAUGUGAAAGCCCGGGGCUCAACCUCGGAAUUGCAUUUGAAACUGGCAAACUAGAGUACUGUAGAGG